RNAcentral lists this ribosomal RNA (460 nucleotides) under uncultured bacterium. RNAcentral's name for it is "partial 16S ribosomal RNA". It matches the Rfam family "Bacterial small subunit ribosomal RNA", at positions 338 to 795 of the family's 1533-position model. The record is from RNAcentral.
CCUACGGGAGGCAGCAGUGAGGAAUAUUGGUCAAUGGACGAGAGUCUGAACCAGCCAAGUAGCGUGAAGGAUGACUGCCCUAUGGGUUGUAAACUUCUUUUAUAUGGGAAUAAAAUGUUCCACGUGUGGGAUUUUGUAUGUACCAUAUGAAUAAGGAUCGGCUAACUCCGUGCCAGCAGCCGCGGUAAUACGGAGGAUCCGAGCGUUAUCCGGAUUUAGUGGGGUUAAAGGGAGCGUAGGUGGAUUGUUAAGUCAGUUGUGAAAGUUUGCGGCUCAACCGUAAAAUUGCAGUUGAAACUGGCAGUCUUGAGUACAGUAGAGGUGGGCGGAAUUCGUGGUGUAGUGGUGAAAUGCUUAGAUAUCACGAAGAACUCCGAUUGCGAAGGCAGCUCACUGGACUGCAACUGACACUGAGGCUCGAAAGUGUGGGUAUCAAACAGGAUUAGAUACCCCUGUAGUC